Pocillopora damicornis (cauliflower coral) is the source of this 839-nucleotide long non-coding RNA. The record is from RefSeq and is a predicted model, not a curated record. Lineage: Eukaryota; Metazoa; Cnidaria; Anthozoa; Scleractinia; Pocilloporidae.
GUCUAGAGGAAAUAGCCUGAACCUCAAGUUGAUAGAAAAAAAUCAAGAAAAAGCAAUUUUUAGUGAAAAAGGGAGAAAGAAAGAAGUUAUUUCAUGAAACAAGUGGAUCCUCUUUUCAAGAGUAUUGUUUGCCAUUUGUAUGUUUUAAAUCUUUGUUCAACUAUCUUUUAGGAAGUUUUUAUGAAAUAAAAACAACCCAUGUUCCUGUUUGACUGUAUUUACCAGCAGAGUUGUUGGAGAAAGAACUGUAUCAAUUGUUCUCUCUGUGUCUCCACUGGUUUUUUGUCUCAUGGCAUUCAGAGUAUGGAUGCUUGGAGGAAAUCUACCACAUUUUACACUUCAGGACAACCCUACCUCAUUUUCAGACUGUCUCAGUUCUCGCAUCAUGACUUACUCAUAUCUGAUUGCAUUCAACUCUUGGUUGCUUUUAUCACUGAGUGUGUUGAGCUAUGAUUGGCAGAUGGGAAGCAUACCUCUUGUGGAAUCGCUGAUGGCUCCCAAAACUUAGGCACACUGAUGUUUGCCAUAAUAGCUGUUCUUCUGGUUUAUUUUGCUGUGUUCUCCAAUGAUACCCUGGUAAACAGUGGUUUCUAAAUACAUCUGCAUUUCACUUCAAUCAUACUGACUUUUGUUAAACAUAGGCAUGCUCUGUUAUUUUUUGGAUGGGUGGAUGAAUUGAAACAUUUUAAGUGAUGUCUACAUUUUUACAAAAGGAAAGAGUAUUAUAACAGAAAAAAACAGGAAUGUUGAGUAAACUCAGACACAGGUAUUUUUUGGUUGAUUGUAUGUGUUGUGCGAAUAACUGUAACCAAAAAUAAACUGUAUUGGUGCCACAGAUA